Molecule: ribosomal RNA, 86 nt
Filed under: Vibrio alginolyticus
Lineage: Bacteria; Pseudomonadati; Pseudomonadota; Gammaproteobacteria; Vibrionales; Vibrionaceae
Also listed under: 1 other name
Description: partial 16S ribosomal RNA
Rfam family: Bacterial small subunit ribosomal RNA (bases 1-77)
Source: RNAcentral
CCACUUUGUGGUUCAUGACUGGGGUGAAGUCGUAACAAGGUAGCGCUAGGGGAACCUGGCGCUGGAUCACCUCCUUAUACGAUGAU